ACUCAAAUGAAUAGACGGGGACCCGCACAACCAGUGGAGCGUGUGGUUCAAUUCGAGACGAAACGAAGGACCUCACCAGGGUUUGACAUAGUAGCGUUCUAUUUUCCAGAAAUGGAAGAAAUCCGCAAGGAGGCUAUUACAGGUGCUGCAUGGUUGUCGUCAGCUCGUGCCGUGAGGUGUUCCCUUAAGUGGGGAAACGAGCGCAACCCCCAUCCAAUGUUACAUUAUUCAUUGGAAACUGACCCAAUUUACGUUGGGAAGGAAGGAGGGGAAGACGUCAAAUCAGCACGGCCCUUAUACCCUGGGCAACACACACACUACAAUGGCGAAAAACAACGAGCCGCAAGCGCGCAAGUGCAAGCAAAUCUCUCAAAUUUCGCCUCAGUUCAGAUUGGGGUCUGCAACUCGACCCCAUGAAGUCGGAAUUGGUAGUAAUCGCAGGUCAGCAAACUGCGGUGAAUACGUUCUCGGGUCUUGUACACACCGCCCGU
Molecule: ribosomal RNA, 491 nt
Filed under: uncultured bacterium
Lineage: Bacteria
Description: partial 16S ribosomal RNA
Rfam family: Bacterial small subunit ribosomal RNA
Source: RNAcentral